AACUGUGGAAGUUUAAAAAAAUUUUUUUGUGGUAACCUAUAAAGCUAAAAUGGAGAUAUAUUUAUUACAUAUAUAGUCAUAAUGUCUUUCCUAUAUAUUUGGGACAAAUAAAAGAACUCUAUCCCACUUAUCUUCCAACUGAUUAAUGAAUUAACCAAUCUUACCCAGAACUGUGGAGAUAUUUUAGCUCUGGCAUAUCAUGCUCCUUUAGCCAGUGAAAAUUAUUUUCUCCAGAAAAUAAUUUUACCUUUAGUUUUGGAUAUGUUUGAUAAACACAUGUUUAUCAUGUGUUUAAAAUACAUCCCAUCAAACUUUGGUCUUGUAUAUGGUGACAAAGAUGGUUAUGAUCUGUAGAGGUUAGAAAUGAAAAUCAAAAGACAAAGUCUCAGAAAAGUAAUAAACACAUUAAGUCAAAGUAACCCUAAAUGCAAAUGGAAGGAAAUAUAAGAUAAUGAUACAACUAUGCAAGGCAAAAGAUUAAGAAAACUCAUUACCACAUUAUGAGAAAUAACUAAGAAAGACCAUUUUGAGUUAACUGUAGCAGAAUAAAGGGAUUGGCAGCCCUCUCCAUAAUUCUCCUGCAGUGAUUUCUUAAACUACUGAGUAAGGUUUUCUAUUUCUAAUUAGCUAAGUCUUAGAAAUAUGCCCUCUAAUGUGACUCAUAUGAACAUAUGGAGUAACUACAAAAAUAUUAUGGAACUUGAGCUUAAUAUAGGUUAAACAUGUUUUCUCCAUAUCAUAAAUGGUGAAACAUUGUUCUGAUACAGUACUGUAAUGCAUUUAUCUGUGAGCUCCAGAACUUGAGUUGAGACACGUGUGAUUUCACGUGUCAAGAUCAGGGUUUUUGUUUUGCUGACUCUGGGUUGGUUUUCACAGUCCGUGAUUUGUGAGCUCUAAGCAAUGAUAAUGGUAACCAGGCAUGCCAUGAUAUCCUGACUAAAACUGGACUCUGGCCCAGAUGGGAAAGCUAAUGGUAAUCAUAAUGAGACCUUGCAUGUAUUGAGUGCCUAGGGUAUGCCAAGUGUGAGCCUAUUUGCCACGUGUUAACUUAUUUAAUCCUCACAACAGCCCUAUUAUACAUAGGAAGAAACUGAGACACAGAGAAGCUGAGUAAGUUACUCAACCUCACACAGCCAGAACAUGGCAGACCUGGGUUUUGAACCCAGGACUUCUGGCUCCGGGUCCCACACUUGAAACUUCACUGUUCAGUAGUAUAUCAGAUGUUGUGGUAUUUUUGUACCGCUGUUGGUGACAUCCCCGUGUCUCUUUGGCAUUCUUAUUGGGAUAUCUAUCUCUUUCGACAUUUUUUUUUUCCUGUUCUGAUGCAGCAACAGGACCCUCUUUGAUUCAGAGAAUAUGGUGCCCUUAAUGAAUCAUCAAGAUGUCCGUGAACAAUUUCAGGGGUUUUCUGUAGAGAUCUCUUUUCUUUCCUUCUUCUUCUUCUUCUUUUUUAUUUUUUAAGAUCUCGUUUCUGAAUUCUGACUCAACCCACCAGAAUGAUUUGAUAGUGAUGGAGUAUGACUCCACACAAUUACAUGAAUGAAAAUCCUCAACCGCAUUCACUAGUGGAAAAGAAAGAAACUAACGUUUUUGGAACGCAUAGCCUCUGUAACUAAGAACAUCUUCUACUCGUUCUCUAUUAGUUGGAGUUUUAGGGAGAUUUAUUAACGUUUAGGGUGCUGAUAUUGCAUGGGCCAAAAGUAAUGGGAGAGUUCUGUGGUCUGAGCAAUAACAGUGAAUCACAGGACAACCAAGAUUCUCAAGGCCAAACUAAACAACGUUACUGAGAAUACAUACAAGCUUACUACCCAGUUAAAAAAUUUCUUGUGCACCCGCCAUCUCAUUGCUUUUGUGUAUCAGAGUUUCCCAAGUAAUGCUCAUCAACACCAGGUUUCUUUUAAAACAGAGCCUCCUUAAAGCGCUUCACAUGUGUACAAGGCUGAGAGCAACAAAUAUCCUAGUCCCAUUAUAGAUCCAAGAGGAAAAGAAAGUGUUAAAAAGCCUGAUGAAGUCCUCACUUAGUAGUGGCCCAAAUCCUCAGUGGAUUGGAUUAUUCUAGAAAGAACCAGUGACCCUCUUCAGCCAAUGUGUUUUGAGUCCUGAUGUGUGCCAGGCUCCUGGUUGUGAGCUAAGGACACAGAACUGAAUAAGCACCUUCUUUGCACUCAGAGGGCCCCUAAAUGACUUCUGUCUUCUCUGCUCAAUCCUUUUGUCUCUAAGUCUUGUGUGAUCAUGCUGCCACAUCAAGAUCUAGUCUCGUAGUUUCGUAAUGCCCCCUUCUCCCUGCACCACCAAACCUCCCCACACACCGGGCUAAAGUCACAGUGCUUUUUACGCGGAAAGCCAUGGAAAUGUGAAGUUUACUGUUUUGCUCUCUCUGAUAAAAUAUAGCAUAAUAACUGGUUGCUGGGUUACUGCAUAAAACACAGGCCCCAAAUGUAGCCAGGAAGAAUAGUUAGCAAUUAAGUAAAGGAAAUGACUAGUGGGUUUGAAACUCAACACACGGCCCAUGUAUACUUCUUAGCAAAGGAAGGCAUCUGGGUUACUUAGGCAACUUUUAUCACUAAGGAAGUAGUUUUGGUGACUCACACUCAUACAGAACAACUGCUUUCAAAAUCUGUUAUUUGGUGCCUUUACCAUUAGGCUUCUGUUUUCCUUUAUCUUUGGACUGGGACAGAAAAAAGCUACAUUUGGAUGGCACGGGUUUAUUACUUAGUAGCAUAUGAUUCUCUGGCUGACCUAUGUUUUGAAAUUUAAUGGACCUGUGGUGAUCAGAGUAAAAGAUAGAAGCUUUCAGUGUGAGGCCAGGGCAUGGAGCACCAUUUGCGCGAUUCGUGAGCCUUAGCAGCCCCUCCCUCUUCUGUGGGGCCCCUUUCAGGGAACAUGGGAGAAGGGACGGUCCAGUGGUUCUCAAAGUGGGGUUCCCAGACCAGUAACAUCCGCAUCGUCUGCUGUUUGUUGGCAAUGCUGUCGCUUCCCAACUUAGGCUGACCGAGUCAGAACUCUGGAGCAGAGGCCCAACAGUCUGGUUUUAAAGAAGACUUCCAGAUGAUUCUGAGGAGUGCUGAUGUCUGAGAACCAUCAUGCUAGUGAAUUAUUAGUACUUGUGGCCAUGAAGAGUAUGAAAACUACAGUGGUUGGAGAGUGGGGACAUUGAUGAGUCUGUUGAUGAGGAAAUGAGGAAUAGUUAGGAGAGAGAGUUUUAACUUGAGAAUCAAAAAAUGAAAAGUCUGGAAUUUAAUGAGGAAGACUGAUUGCUUGCAAGAACCUUUGCUUUCUUAGAGAAGGACAAUCCGGAUGACUGGGGGACUGUGAACUAACUAUAUGAGCAUGGUUCUGAAAUUCUCGAAUAAUCUCUUGUGAGAGAAGUCAUGCCUUUCCGUAUGAGGACAUACAUUCAACUCAGUAUGCUGGAUUGGCACCGAGGAGUUAGGACAGCCACACUUUGAGAUAACGACUAAAUGCCCAUCUUUGCAUCCAUCCACUCAAGGGACCUCUAAAAUUGCCAAAAACGACCGCAAUCUCUGUACUGGCAAAUGAAAGAUUAUUCCAGACUUUGCUGUGAAAGAGAGGAGAAGGGUGCCGGGGCUGUGCUCAGAGGAGAUCAUGAUCCGUGGAAAGAUGACCCGAACCUGUCAACUUGGAGCCAAUUUGAGCAUAUGGAGGCAAAGAGUCAAAACGGAAAGAAAGAGAGAGACUCUUCUGGAUUUUGUGCAGCUCUGUAAUUUAAACAGGGUUGCGCGUGGCAGCAGGCGGCCUGGUGUGUCAGAGUGGAUGCAAAGAUGGUAAACCGGAAGGAGGCCUGGAAAGAAGGGAAAUGGGCAAUGAGCAUCUCUUGAGACAAAGCAGUGUGUGUGUGUGUGUGUGUGCGCGCACGCGUGUGUGCUAUGUGUUUUAGCAAGGUUUAAAAAGGUUUUAUUAAAUUGGAGGCAUCCAAUUUAGGGGGCACCUGGGUGACUCCAUCAGAAGAGCUUGCAAAUCUUGAUCUCGGGUUCAAGCCCCACCUUGGGCCUAGAGCUUACUUAAAAAAAUAACAAAAAAAUAAAUUGGAAGCCUCAGGAUGAACUUGCAGCUUAAAAAAUUUUCCCUUCUAAAGCUGAACGAGUCUACUCUCUCUGAAGCUGGUUGUGUGGAACAUUGAAUGUUCUGUUAUUCUUCCAGUAAAAGAAGGUUGGGGAGGGGUAACUGGUACCAAAUCUGGGGGUCAAAUAUAAAAAGGAGCUUAGAAUAGGAAGGAAUAGCCAAGAAAUGUUUGCAAAAGAAGAGGAAUUCUGGGGGUUCCUAGUAGGUGUGAAAAUGUAUUUCCAAGUUCCACUGUUUGCCGGUGUGAUUUGCCAACAGGAACAGCAGACAUACCCCAAGAAGGGCUGGCCCCCAUGAGGACGAACCUGCCUUAGAAUCUAGUAUGUGAACAAGGAAGUAUUACAAACCACUGUGGAAGGGGAAUCUAGGUAUUUGCAGAAAAGCUGGGUUUAAAACCUCUCCUUGCAUACCAAUCAAAAUAGAUUAAAAAAAUGAAACAUAAAGGAAGAGAACAUACAGCGGAAUGUAGCUCAUUUUUUCCCCAAGUAUAGGACUUCCUAGGCUUGGAUAAUCACACAGGAAAACUGUGUGUAUUUGACUGCAGAAAAUUAAAUACGUUUGUGUCGUAAAAUACUAUAAACCAAAUCCAAUGGAAACUGAUGAACAGAGAGACAUUUUUACAACACACAUGGCUGACAGCUUUAUAGCCACAAAAAAAACAUUGUGGUAAUGCAGUCAGAAACUCAUAUUAUCCCAGUAGCAAAAGGACAAAUAUAACAAAUAAAGGACAGAAGAAAAUAAUUAUAGAUGUCCCAUAAACAUGUGAUAAUUCAUCCUCGAUAUGAAUUUUUAAAAGGAAAAUAAAAAUAACACACUAAUUUUUUGGCCUAUAAGAUAGACAGAACUUUAAAAUGGCAACACCUGUUCACGAGGAUAAAGCAGGUGAGGGUCCUCAGCCAAUGAUGACAAGUUGGGCUCGUAAUCAUUUUGGAAAUGCAUCAGGAACUUAGGUAGUAAUUAUGUCUUUCACCUCGUAACCCCCCCUUCUAGACUCUAGCUGAUGAGAACCUCAGAGCAUUUGAAUAUUUAUAUGCAAGAAUUUCAUCGCCCUGUUCACAUAGCAAAAAACGGAAUCCUCUUCAAUGUUCAAUACUGAGAGACCGGAAAAAGAAAUUAUGGAUGUUUAUGUAUUACAGAAGCUACUAAGGUGGGAAGGAUACCCAGUGAACAGUUGAAAGUGGCUGAUUUUUAGGGAUGAGGGUGGAAUCAAGGCAUUUUUGGAAGCUGGAUUUUUUUUUUUUUUUUUUUACCUUUUGUAAUUUGCUUUACUCCUCCAAAUUAGCAUGCAUUAUUCAGAAAAUUCAGAAAAAAUUUAAAAAAAAUUUCAUAAAAAGUAAAGGUGAUAUGUAAAAAAUGAUAUAUCCCUUUGAUACAAAUGCAAAAGUGAUCAUGAUAAAAUGUUAGAUGGAAAAAAAAAACAGGGCAUAAAACACAAAUGCAGUAAGAUGAUGAUUUUGGUCAAAUAUAAUGAGUGCAAAGACUAGAGAGAGAAAUACUAUGAUUUAGCUAUAGUUAUCUCUUGUGGCUUUUUAAAAUUUUCUUUUUAAAUAUAUUUUCCUAUUUUCUGCAUUAUGUGUAAUGGGCAUACAUAUUUUAUUAGCUGUGAACAUAGAGGAAGAACAGUCCUCUUACAGUUGGAUUGGGCUCUCGAUUCUGGGCAUUUCUGAUGUUAUGUUUAUUAGGUCUCUUUCACUUCGGUGAUAACCAGAAAAUUGUUUUUCAAAUAAUGUCUUACCUCUAUAGGGAAAAAGUAAUACGAUGGAACUGCAGUCUUAAGCUUUUGGGUUUUCAAACUGCAACGAGACAGAAAUAAGGCUCUUGGUUGCAUUCUUUGCCACCCUGUUCUUGAAGUAAGGCCUACAGUAAAAGAAGGAAAAAAAAAGAUAGGCCACGCAGAUUCCUGACAUUCUUUCCUAACCAGAAUGAGUUUUAACCCCUAAUGUGAUUUUUCCCCCUUAAAAUAGAUACCAUCUCUCGUCUUUCAGUUAUUCUUUGAUACCUUCCAAAUUUUUUUAAAAUUGGUGCUCUCUCCUGAUUCUUUAAAACAAAAACAAAAACAAAAAAAAAAC
Molecule: long non-coding RNA, 6152 nt
Organism: Mustela erminea (ermine)
Lineage: Eukaryota; Metazoa; Chordata; Mammalia; Carnivora; Mustelidae
Exons: 4
Source: RefSeq, a predicted model, not a curated record